GACGAACGCUGGCGGCGUGCUUAACACAUGCAAGUCGAACGGAAAGGCCCUGCUUUUGUGGGGUGCUCGAGUGGCGAACGGGUGAUUAACACGUGAGUAACCUGCCCUUGACUUUGGGAUAACUUCAGGAAACUGGGGCUAAUACCGGAUAGGAGCUCCUGCUGCAUGGUGGGGGUUGGAAAGUUUCGGCGGUUGGGGAUGGACUCGCGGCUUAUCAGCUUGUUGGUGGGGUAGUGGCUUACCAAGGCUUUGACGGGUAGCCGGCCUGAGAGGGUGACCGGCCACAUUGGGACUGAGAUACGGCCCAGACUCCUACGGGAGGCAGCAGUGGGGAAUAUUGCACAAUGGGCGGAAGCCUGAUGCAGCAACGCCGCGUGCGGGAUGACGGCCUUCGGGUUGUAAACCGCUUUCGCCUGUGACGAAGCGUGAGUGACGGUAAUGGGUAAAGAAGCACCGGCUAACUACGUG
Molecule: ribosomal RNA, 468 nt
Filed under: uncultured bacterium
Lineage: Bacteria
Description: partial 16S ribosomal RNA
Rfam family: Bacterial small subunit ribosomal RNA
Source: RNAcentral